GGCGCGGAUGGCGCAGGCCGGCGCCGCGUCCUGAGGCGCCGCGCCGGGCGAACGCCUCAGUUCCGGGUCCAGGUCUGGCCGC
RNAcentral lists this transfer RNA (82 nucleotides) under Wenxinia marina. RNAcentral's name for it is "tRNA-Leu". The record is from RNAcentral. Lineage: Bacteria; Pseudomonadati; Pseudomonadota; Alphaproteobacteria; Rhodobacterales; Roseobacteraceae.